This is a long non-coding RNA of Gallus gallus (chicken), 634 nucleotides long. Lineage: Eukaryota; Metazoa; Chordata; Aves; Galliformes; Phasianidae. The record is from Ensembl.
GAGGAAGGAUCUCUGUCUGGAGAUCAUCCCUCUUGGAGCCCUUCUGCAAGCCGAGGAUGCAGAUUAAUAAGCCUCGUUAUUGAGUGUAUUGGACAAGUUCAGAAGACCCUGCAUGUGACAACAACAUUAGUAACACCAAAAAGAGUCUCAUGGAGAGCUUCCUGAGCAGUGAUGGAAGAAAGGGUGAAUGCUUCUGACAGCAAGUGACUGCAGUGUAUGUUAGAGGCUUGAUGGAGCAAGCGAGGCUACAAAUGAAGUGGUACAGGAAGAGAAAUGGACAUGGCACGUGGCAGAUAAAGAUGUAAGUGGGUCAAGCAUCAGUAUCUCAGGACGGUAGUGACAUUUUGGCCUGCACAUCAAAGCACAAAUCAUUUUGUUUAAGCACAUUAAACACAGUGGCUGGCUACUAGCAAAGCCCUUGAAUAAAGAUCAUGAGGUAUUCAGCAAUGGAAUCUUAGUAUUUGCUCUACAAGGUUAAUUAAUAUCUUCAUCAAGGUGGUUGUGUAAUACCAUUCACCUGACUGCAAGAGUGUCAGAAGACUGUACUAAGCUAUAUCUGCUUAUGUUAGAUCAAGAAUAUUUUGGCUUUGUUUUAAAUAGCAAGCAUUAAAGAACCAUACAUAAUAGCAAGUAG